GAAAUGCGAUAAGUAAUGUGAAUUGCAGAAUUCAGUGAAUCAUCGAAUCUUUGAACGCACAUUGCGCCCGCCAGUAUUCUGGCGGGCAUGCCUGUUCGAGCGUCAUUACAACCCUCAGGCCCCCGGGCCUGGCGUUGGGGAUCGGCGGAAGCCCCCUGCGGGCACAACGCCGUCCCCCAAAUACAGUGGCGGUCCCGCCGCAGCUUCCAUUGCGUAGUAGCUAACACCUCGCAACUGGAGAGCGGCGCGGCCACGCCGUAAAACACCCAACUUCUGAAUGUUGACCUCGAAUCAGGUAGGAAUACCCGCUGAACUUAAGU
This 320-nucleotide unclassified non-coding RNA is filed under the name plant metagenome. RNAcentral describes it as "partial contains 5.8S ribosomal RNA, internal transcribed spacer 2, and large subunit ribosomal RNA". The stretch from base 1 to 105 matches the Rfam family "5.8S ribosomal RNA", at positions 50 to 154 of the family's 154-position model. The record is from RNAcentral.